GACUACUGCAACAUAUGCUUAUGUGAGAAGACACUCAUCCUUCUUAAUCCUUGUGUUAAGUUUUGGUACUCAUAUUGGGCUGGCUUUACUCUAUGGGGCUUGCUGGCACUUGGUCUCUAGGUCAAGAUUUGCAACCAGCAUUUCUAUCUCAGUUUUUUCUUCUGAAAAGAAAAAAGAAAGAGAAAAAACUUUGAAUGUGAAUCUGUU
RNAcentral lists this unclassified non-coding RNA (207 nucleotides) under Hevea brasiliensis (rubber tree). The record is from RNAcentral. Lineage: Eukaryota; Viridiplantae; Streptophyta; Magnoliopsida; Malpighiales; Euphorbiaceae.